GACGAACGCUGGCGGCGUGCUUAACACAUGCAAGUCGAACGAUGAACCCGGAGCUUGCUCUGGGGGAUUAGUGGCGAACGGGUGAGUAACACGUGAGUAACCUGCCCUGGACUCUGGGAUAAGCGUUGGAAACGACGUCUAAUACCGGAUAGGACCUUGGAUCGCAUGAUCUGGGGUGGAAAGUUUUUUCGGUCUGGGAUGGACUCGCGGCCUAUCAGCUUGUUGGUGAGGUAAUGGCUCACCAAGGCGUCGACGGGUAGCCGGCCUGAGAGGGUGACCGGCCACACUGGGACUGAGACACGGCCCAGACGCCUACGGGAGGCAGCAGUGGGGAAGAUUGCACAAUGGGCGAAAGCCUGAUGCAGCAACGCCGCGUGCGGGAUGACGGCCUUCGGGUUGUAAACCGCUUUUAGUAGGGAAGAAGGGCUUCGGCUUGACGGUACCUGCAGAAAAAGGACCGGCUAACUACGUG
RNAcentral lists this ribosomal RNA (472 nucleotides) under uncultured bacterium. RNAcentral describes it as "partial 16S ribosomal RNA". It matches the Rfam family "Bacterial small subunit ribosomal RNA", at positions 28 to 507 of the family's 1533-position model. The record is from RNAcentral.